AGCGCAUCUAUUAGAUUAAAACCAAUCGGGUUUCGAUCCGUCAAUUGGUGACUCUGAAUAGCUCAGGCUGAUCGCAUGGUCUCGUACCGGCGACAUAUCUAUCAAGUGUCUGCCUUAUCAACUUUCGAUGGUAGUUUAUGUGCCUACCAUGGUUGUAACGGGUAACGGAGAAUAAGGGUUCGACUCCGGAGAGGGAGCCUGAGAAACGGCUACCACAUCCAAGGAGGGCAGCAGGCGCGCAAAUUACCCAAUCUCGGAAUGAGGAGGUAGUGACGAAAAAUAACGAGACCGUUCUCUUUGAGGCCGGUUAUCGGAAUGGGUACAAUUUAAACCCGUUAACGAGGAUCUAUGAGAGGGCAAGUCUGGUGCCAGCAGCCGCGGUAAUUCCAGCUCUCAAAGUGUAUAUCGUUAUUGCUGCGGUUAAAAAGCUCGUAGUUGGAUCUGCGUCUCAGGACCUGGUCCGUCCAUUGGACGUGAACUAGGAUCCUAGGCUCAAUAGGCCAGUUUUCCCUAUGUUACCUUAAUUGGUUGCGUAGGGUAGCAGGCAAGUUUACCUUGAAAAAAUUAGAGUGCUCAAUGCGGGCUAAUGCCUGAAUAUUCGUGCAUGGAAUAAUGAAAUAGGAUCUCGGUUCUAUUUUGUUGGUUUUCUGAUCUGAGAUAAUGGUUAAGAGGGACGGACGGGGGCAUUCGUAUCGCUGCGUGAGAGGUGAAAUUCUUGGACCGUAGCGAGACGCCCGACUGCGAAAGCAUUUGCCAAGAAUGUCUUCAUUAAUCAAG
Molecule: ribosomal RNA, 777 nt
Filed under: Diomedenema dinarctos
Lineage: Eukaryota; Metazoa; Nematoda; Chromadorea; Rhabditida; Desmidocercidae
Description: SSU rRNA
Rfam family: Eukaryotic small subunit ribosomal RNA
Source: RNAcentral